AUGGGAGACUUGAAUGAUAUCAUGUAUGAUGUUGAUGGUUGUAAUGGUAAUAUCAACUACUAUCGUAUGCAUGCUUUUCGUUCUCUUGUUAAAAACUGUGGCUUGUUUGAUAUUGGUUAUAGUGGUCCUGCUUAUACUUGGCGUGGUAGGCAGAAUACUUCCAAACCUAUUCAUCGUCGUCUAGAUCGCUAUUUGGUUAACUCCGAUUGGUGCUUCCACUAUCCUAAUACAAAAGUUCUGAAUCUCCCCAUUAUUCUCAGUGAUCAUGCGCCUAUUUUAAUUUUGACUGACAGUCAGUUUGUCAAGCCUAAGCAAGCCUUUAAAUUUGAAAAU
RNAcentral lists this ribosomal RNA (333 nucleotides) under Triticum aestivum (bread wheat). RNAcentral's name for it is "partial small subunit ribosomal RNA". The record is from RNAcentral. Lineage: Eukaryota; Viridiplantae; Streptophyta; Magnoliopsida; Poales; Poaceae.